CGCGUAACACGUAAGCAACCUGCCCUAAAGUGGGGGAUAACAGUCCGAAAGGAUUGCUAAUACCGCAUGUGGUCAAGAUUUGGCAUCUUAUCUUGACUAAAGCCUUGUGCGCUUUAGGAUGGGCUUGCGGCCUAUCAGCUUGUUGGUGGGGUAACGGCCUACCAAGGCUUUGACGGGUAGCUGGUCUGAGAGGACGAUCAGCCGGAUUGGGACUGAGAUACGGCCCAG
This 228-nucleotide ribosomal RNA is filed under the name uncultured bacterium. Its description in RNAcentral is "partial 16S ribosomal RNA". It matches the Rfam family "Bacterial small subunit ribosomal RNA", at positions 107 to 334 of the family's 1533-position model. The record is from RNAcentral.